UGAAAUAUAAGAUAAUAUUAUUUUAUUAGUAUAUUAGGAGUUAGUAGUUUGUUUUUUUAUUAAAAAGUAUAUUAUAUAUUAUAAAUUAUUAUGUUUUUAUUAAAAAUAAAAUUCCCCGACUCCCCGCGGGGAUCCCCGUUCCCCAUUCGGGGCGGGGAUCGGGGAGAAAAAUAAUCCCCGUUCGGGGUUCGGGGCGGGGUCGGGGAGGGGUCAUGAAUUCGGGGAUCGGGUUCGGGGAUAGCACUCCCCGCCCCGAAGUGCCCCCGUGCCCAUCCCUAAUAAUUACUCCCUCCGUCCCAGUCAUUUCUAUACAGUUUCGUUUUUGGGAUUUCUCAUCAUUUCUAUACAUUCCUAAAAUAGCAACUUUUAAUAAUAUAAAAAACUAUUACACCCACUAUUUUCUCCCACUAUCUCCAUUCUAUAAUAAUAAAAACACUAUUACACCCACUACUUUCCUCCACUAUCUCAAAUCUAUUAUUGAAAAUAAAUAGGUCCCACCACUUUACCCACUUUUCAUCCAAUUUUACUCAUUUCUUACACUUUUUCUUGGUCUCCGUGUCCAAUCCCAAUGUAUAUUAUUCAUUGGGACGGAGGGAGUAUGUUUUAUUUAGAUUCAAACAAAUAUAAUUUAAAAUGUAUAAAUGAUCUAUGUCAACUAUAAUUAAUACUAAAAUUUGUGAAAAUAAUUAAUUUGAUGAUUGGGUCAAAAUAUUAAAAUAAGUGAUUGAAAAAUCAAGGAGUAUAAGAUAUAAGAAGUAUUGUAUAAAAAUUAAAUUAAUAUUUAUUAGAUAAUAUUAAAUAAAUUUAUAUGUAUAAUCAAUGUUAAGAAAUAAGGAGAUAGAAUUAGUUGAACAAUAGAAUCAAAGAUGAGAAAAAUUAGUGGAGGAAAAUAAAAAUAUAUAAUAUAAUACUUAAUAACGAGAUUUAAUUAGAAAUGACGUAUAAGAAUAUUGAUGUCAUCCAUUUAGUGAGAGGUUGAUAAUUUAAAAAUAACAUUGAAAUCAUGAAGUUAAGUCUGGUUCAAUACAAUAAAAAUUUGUUGAAAUUUUUUCUUGAUUGUAUUCACAAAUAAUAGACAAAGAUAUAAAGAUAUUUUAAAGUGAACAUAAGAUAAUUAUACAAGAGCUUUCAAAAUUUCAAGUGGAUUUAUCCACCAAGUAGAUUUUAUAACUUUUUUGUGUUUGAAUAACACAACUACCUAUAAGAAAACCAAGAAAAGGUUUUUACAAGAUAUUUCUCUAACAGUUCUAAGUUCGAUGUUUCUUUUCGUAUAAAAUAGAUACUACUGUAAAAUGAAUUACAAUACUUGCUUAUAUAUCCUGAGUUUAUAUUUUUUUUCUUUACAGAAAUAAUUAACUUCUUAUUAAUAAUAAAAACCACAACCCUACUCAAAUAUUUGCUUACAUAUUCUUGAAAAUAUUUUUCUUGUUGACAAAUUUAUUUUUCGAAUACUCUCGUGUAGAUACAAAUAGCAAACUCCAUUUAAUAAACUAAGUCUACAUUAAGCUUGACUUUCAAAAUAGAUCAUAUUGUUCUGAUCGAUCAACGAUGUGAUUGUUGUCUUUUUUUCUCUUAUGUACAUGUCAACCGAUGUCAAUUAGACAUAGAUAAAUCAAUCAUCAGUCGUUGAUAGCUUACUUGACUAGCCGUUGUAGAUUCUUUUAUUAUCAAUUGAUAGUUUGUCUUUAUUAGUUGUUGAAGGGUUAAAAAAUUAAUUGAUAAAACUUUAUUUAUAUUUCAUUGAUAACUUAGAUUUAGUUGUUGAUAUUCACUUUACUUAAGUAAUUAUCAUGACUUAAAAAAUUUUAUAAUUUGACAUGUCAACUACACAUCUAUUGAUAAAUCAAAAAAGUAUAUUAGUUGAUCAACUUAUUCAGUUAAUUACUAACUUGUAAAGUACCUAUUUUGUUAUAAUACCACAUCAGUUGAUGAUAAUUGAUCAAUGAAUACUACAUAUAAUAUGCGAUCAAUUGAUUGGCUGGAUUUACUUAAGCAAAAUUACGUUAAUUAUAUUGACUAAUAAUCAAGACCAACAUAUUUCCAACAACUAUAUUUGUAAGUUCAUUACUUAUUCCUGGACCUUCGUCUUUCCUAUAAAUAACUCGUAUUCGAAGGUAUUUUUUCCACCCCUUAGAGGCCUUACAUAUAAUCUUUAAAUUACUCCCUUAAUGUUCUCGUAUUUCGAGAGUUUGUAGAAUUUUUAAUUUUUUUUAUAUUUUGUGAUUUUAUGAAAAGUACAUUUUUUUCCUAGAAAAUCAAAUGUUCGAUCUUGAAAACCAAACUCACUGGUCGUAGCAAGUUUGGCUCAGUUGGAGUCCUACAAUAGCUUCGUUCGACGAAUCGAUCAAUGGAGGGAUAACUUAUACCACCUUAUUCGGGUGAUUUUAAAUGUUGGGGUUGCUCCUGGAAUCUGGGGCCUGGUCGACAAGUUUGCUUGAUCUAAGACAUCAAUUGAUUCUUUACUCGGUUGGCGAGCUUCGCUAGGUUAAUGAGCGACUUGAUUCUUGGCCAUCAUGUUAAUCGGGAGGCAGGGUGUUUUGGUGACCUGGUCAGCUAUUUUGAUUUAUGAUUGGCAAACUCUUGUGUGUACAAAUUAUUUUUUAUCCAAAAUUUCGACGAUUAUGUAUAUUUUUCAAGUUGAACAAUGUGAAAUAUAUUAUUAUGUAGAAGAUGUUCUGUUUAUGGUACAUAUACAGUUUCAAGAUCUCCCA
RNAcentral lists this long non-coding RNA (2711 nucleotides) under Daucus carota (carrot). RNAcentral describes it as "long non-coding RNA (DCAR_LNC000659)". The record is from RNAcentral. Lineage: Eukaryota; Viridiplantae; Streptophyta; Magnoliopsida; Apiales; Apiaceae.